ACUAUAAAAUGCUUGGUAAUAAGCUUCAUGAUUCUCUCCAGGUGGGUUAUCUGCGUUCACUGAAGAAUUGAGGCAGGACCCAGAGCUGGCACUUGAGUAUUCACACAUACCAGAACGUCUUCUGCCUAUCAUCUCAUACGUGGAUCCAUCUGACAGUUCUGGGUCAUCAUCAGUGAAUACAGGGGCUCCUCGGAAUGCCUGGAGGACCGGUGUCAGGAUUCCACCCGAUACCCAAAUCUUUAGAUGCUCAAGUCCCUCGUGGAGAACUGCAGCACGUCUACCCAGAACCCACGAGCACCCUCACCUCAAUGGCUCAAAACAGCUGACAGGUGAGCGCGCUGUGUCAGCAGAGGCUCUUCUGUGCUGUUUAGGGAAGAGCUGAUCUGGGGAAAAGUCCGAACAUGUUCGCUACAAAAGUGAUUUUUCCUCAGAUACUUUCGAUCUGCAGCUGGUCGAAUCAUUGGCUAUAAACCUUGUGGAGAACCCAUCACACUUACACAGCUCACCUCGGGACUAGUGGGAAGGAUUUGGAUAUAAUUCCUGUGUAAAAGUCUGUCUUACUUGUUUAAGUCUGUAUAUCAAUCCCGCCCAAACUUCUCUGAAUUCAGAAGAGAGAAGAGAAGGCACUGAUCAGAAAACUUGGUGUCACUGAAUAAUUCACAUUUGGAAAGAAAAAGCGAUUACUUUUUAAGGAGGGAGACUCCCAUGAGUCUUUUCAGCUAACAUCACCUACUCUAAAAACUCAGAUUAAUUAUUUAUGGCAGUGUAUGUUGUAAUGUCAAAACCAAACUGUUAUUUGGGAAAUAUGAUAGGGACAUAAAAAACCUCUCUUACUUUAG
This 839-nucleotide long non-coding RNA is filed under the name Fukomys damarensis (Damara mole-rat). RNAcentral's name for it is "lncRNA (ENSFDAG00000023132.1)". Lineage: Eukaryota; Metazoa; Chordata; Mammalia; Rodentia; Bathyergidae. The record is from RNAcentral.